Molecule: ribosomal RNA, 347 nt
Filed under: uncultured bacterium
Lineage: Bacteria
Description: partial 16S ribosomal RNA
Rfam family: Bacterial small subunit ribosomal RNA
Source: RNAcentral
CCUACGGGUGGCAGCAGUCGAGAAUCAUUCACAAUGGGGGAAACCCUGAUGGUGCUAUGCCGCGUGGGGGAAUGAAGGUCUUCGGAUUGUAACCACCUGUCAUGUGGGAGCAAAUUAAAAAGAUAGUAACACAAGAGGCAGAGACGGCUAACUCGGUGACAGCAGCCGCGGUAAUACAGAGGUCGCAAGCGUUUAUCGAAAUUACUGGGCGUAAAGCGUGCGUAGGCUGCUGCGUAAGUCGGGUGUGAAAGGCGCGGGCUCAACCCGCGGACGGCACAUGAUACUGCGAGACUAGAGUAAUUGAGGGGGAACCGGAAUUCUCGGUGUAGCAGUGAAAUGCGUAGAUA